ACUAAUUGGUGGAACCAUGCGAGU
This 24-nucleotide non-coding RNA is filed under the name Arabidopsis thaliana (thale cress). The record is from RNAcentral. Lineage: Eukaryota; Viridiplantae; Streptophyta; Magnoliopsida; Brassicales; Brassicaceae.